GUCCGCGCGCUAUGCACCCAAUCUCGCUCGCACACCAGCCGCCGCACAACCCUAGCUCCCACAUUCCCCUCGAUCCACUGCCCCUCCCUCCUUCCCGCUCGUCACCAGGGCCUCGCCGCCGCCUACUCCUCCUCCCCCACCGUUGCUGCUUCCCGACCUCGACUUCCCUCUCUCCGUUGUUUAUCCGGUCGUCGGCGGCGCCUUGUUCCAGAUCUGGCGCAAGUUAGGCCCGGUGGUGGGGCGAAGGGGCAGUGGAGGUGGGCGACCAGGACAAGCAGCUCUCGGCCCGUCGCGGGUGAGGCUCCAAGAGGGAAGAGGCGGGGACAGGAGGCUCGAGGGAAGAGGGAUGAGGCGGGGACAGGUGAAGGAGCAGGCUGGUCCUCGUGGAGGCGGCGCCGCCGGCCAGGGGCCAUUCACCGUCGCCGGACUCACUCGCCUCGUCUAUUCUCUCGUCACCAACUCGACAAUGGAGGAUGGGACAAGCAUGCCGGUGGCCAGCCAGUGGAGCCCCACCACAGGUGGUGAGAUUUUUCUCUGCUGUCUUCUUACUCUGGGGCGUGCCCUGGAAGAACUCACCCACACCAGCCAAGGAGGAUCCAUGAUGUGUGUGAGGUAGAGGUGGAUCAUUGGAGGUGAAGCAGGUCUCCUUGAGUUGUGCUUCAUCUGAGUUUCACGGGGUACUUAAGCAAUGGUUGCACCCCGCCACAUCACAUACCAGAUGCUCAGAUUAUAAGAAAGAGAAUUUUAUAAGUCAGGCAUCGAUUGCUCACCUUUGAAAGUUACAGAUUCAAGUGCUAGGCUUUAAGAAUGAAGCAAAUCCCAAUCUAGAAACAUGUUUCGUGCACCAUAUAUUUGUCACCAGAAACGAAUGCGCAGGCGACAGCCAUUUGAUUAGUGUUAUAUCCAACUAAGGCUAGCUGACUGCAGUUUGAUUAUCGAUUCAUCUAUGGCAGCACAGACAGGCAAUGGCAGCAUCGGUGGCACGAGAGGAAGGAUGGGAAUCAGCUACUUGCAUUCGCACGGAGGAGGCAAUGUCGACGCGAUGGCACAGCAGAGGAGGCUGGGCUCGUUGUGGAGCUUCUUGAGGCAGCAGGACGUCGGCGAGAGCAUCGCUGCCGGCAACGGCUUGAGUGACCUCUUGAGGAUCUUCUCCAUGAGCACAUGUGACGACACCAACUCCAACGUCAUCUUCUCAGCGCCCGGCAGCAAGAAGGCCGAGGUGCUCGGCGACAGCGAUGUCGGCAUGGUCACCAGCUUCAGCAACAUCGACUCCUAGAUUCAGUUAGCCCUCUCGAGCUGGACAUGCCCAGCAUGGACGACUACCUGCAGCUGCAGCAGGACUCCGCCGACUGCAGAGUCCACGCCAAGCAUGGCUGCACCACUGACCCGCAGAGCAUCGCUUGGGAGGGAAAGAAGAACAAGGACCAAUAAGAGGCUAAGGAGGCUGCAAGACCUCAUUCCCUACAUGGACAAGGUCACAAGAACUGAAUAUACACGUAGGAGAAACUUGAGAGCCAAUAUUAGUGCUGAAGGAUUACUCUGAUUGCUGAUCUAUGUUGUCGCGGCAACACAGGCCAAUACACAUUCAGGAAAUAUGUGACCAGCUUCCCCAAGGUCCCGCAUCGUCUACUCAGUAAGCCAAGGUGGAGGUUGGGAAACAAAGAACUUGCCCAACUGUGGAAAUGGGCAGAACUAAACCCUGUAUGUUUUAGCUAGAACUUCCUGCUAUUGUUCUAUUUGAAGGAGCAACAAUGCAUUAAGCGCAAAAAAUACGUCAGUUAGGCCUUUUUUGUCUUAUUAUCCAAUUUUACUUCUAUAUACAAAUGUUAAAAGAGUCUGAGUGGGGACACUCUAUUUGGAAAGGGAUUUUGUACAGUUUUUCUGCAAGUUACUACUUCAUUAGUGGAUUGGCCUACAUAGUAUUCAUAAAAAUUAAUCAUCCAAUUCCCUCUAUGUGUCCUUGGUCACAUUUCUUGUCUGUUCAAUUCUUGGAAACCCACAUCUUAUUUGAAUUGAAACUGCUGAGUGCUUUGACUGAUCCUGACCGAGUCCACACACCAUCACUUACAGAAUACUGGAAGCCACUUGCAGAAGAUGUAAACCCUUUACCUUUUCUUUCAUAGUUACUCCCUCCAUCCCAAAAUAAGUGACUCAACUUUGUACUAGCUUUAGUACAAAGUUAGUACAAAGUUGAAUCACUUAUUUUGGGACGGAGGGAGUACUUUGCACCAAUGGUUCUAAUACUGGGUUUUCAAGAUAAACUUGCAGAUGGACACAUCUGCCAGAGAGACGGCGGUCAUGAGAGCCGGAAGAUCACAAGAGAUCGACCUUUUGGGUGGUCUAAUACUUCCUGUAUGGGCACAUAGAAAAGCCACUACGAUAAGCCGACACCUAAUAAGGAUCAGGAGAACAACAGAUAUGCUAAGAGACAACCUUUUGGGGUUAAGGAUAUAAACAACAACAGGGCUUAUGAGGCCGAAGAAAGCUCGAGUGGCGUCUUUUGGUUCUUGAAGACCUGCACGUUCCUGGUGGAGUAGAGCAAAAUAAUUUGAAGGCUUUAAAGCUACUGCACUUCAUGUAGUUAGGAUCAACUCUUUGUUUUAGUUUGAAAUAUUCCCCAUUUCCUCCUAUUUGAUUGAUUCAUCUGAUGGACAUUUUGUCAGGCAAAUAAACAAAAGGCAUAUGUAUUAUUACGAGUGAAGCCAUCCAUACUCCCAUGUGGAAUUCAAGAAAUAGAGAAAUGUUAUUGUUUUUCUACUAAUUGUUUGCUUGGCCAAAUGUAUUGUAAAUGAUUUAUUAUUGUUCAAGGUAUAGAGAAAUGUUAUUGUUCUUUA
Triticum dicoccoides is the source of this 2834-nucleotide long non-coding RNA. RefSeq lists it as uncharacterized. Lineage: Eukaryota; Viridiplantae; Streptophyta; Magnoliopsida; Poales; Poaceae. The transcript has 12 exons. The record is from RefSeq and is a predicted model, not a curated record.